RNAcentral lists this long non-coding RNA (1482 nucleotides) under Pan troglodytes (chimpanzee). Its description in RNAcentral is "long non-coding RNA NONPTRT010313". The record is from RNAcentral. Lineage: Eukaryota; Metazoa; Chordata; Mammalia; Primates; Hominidae.
CAAGCAUCCCAGAGUCCAGUCAGCAGACAGCAGAGGAGACUGUCAGCAGACCACCUUGGAGGGGAUGCUUGGAGCUGCCUAACGUGUGAUUCAAAGAUGAAUUCCAUGUGUUUGGAGAAGAAGCCCUAGCCUCAACACAAAGGUUGGCCACAUUCCAGCCAAGGUAGCACGGAGUGAAGGCCCAUGGAGGGAGAGCUGGGCUUUUCUGAACUACUUCAGUACACCUUGCUGUGCCUCGGCCUGCCGUGUUUCAUCCCCAUGGCUGUCCUCAGUGAUGUGCAUGGUCACUGCUCCCUUCACCACUGAGAAGACGGGCACAGGACGGUCAGGGGACGUGUCCAAGGUCCCACAGCAGGAAGGGCUGGAGCCAGAAUGUGGUCUGAGAGGCUGGAUAUACAAAGAGACAAUGGCGUGACCAUCUGUACAAAUGGAACUAUGGCCCACAACUUGCAGCAGCCAGCCCAGGAAGCCAACCUGUCACCUGCAGUAGCCAGGAUGGUAUAGUACCUGCCCUCAGUUGUACUCACAUCAUUGGUCUUAUGGGGAAAUUUUAAGAACUCCCACUUGUAAGGUUUUAUAGCCCUCUAUGGAAUAUUGAAGAAAGAGUAAAAUGCAUCCAAAAAAAAAAACAAAAAACACUAAACUGGAUAAAUUCUAAGGCCUCUUCAGGUCUUAAGAUGGCCAUUUUCUAGGUCCUCUUGCUGCAGCAGUGAAAUCCACAAACACGGGCAAGUCAGUCAGUUACGUGCCUUUCAGAGAAAACUUCUGACUUAGGAACUCCAGCUAUUUGGCCCAACCCAUAUUAGAUUGUGUUAUAAAGACAUGGUAAAUUACAUCACGAAGGGAAGAGCAGAGGAAACAUAAUAUUCCUUCAAGACCCAUCAGCUCAGAUGUUAGCAGAACACCCCUAAGGAGGAAAACAAGAAAUUUUGGGUUUGAACUUGGUGCUUCCCAGCAGCCCUGGGAGUGGGGUCAGAAGCCCUGCUGGGGGGCGAAGAACUCUGAGGAUCAAAGAUGUUGAGCAUCACCUUAGAGGCCAAAGAUCAGAACAGCGGAGGUGGCCUUUGAAGCCCAACCUGUCUUUCACCAGAGAGUGAGAACGGCCUCUAUUUCCAGGAAGCUCACUGCAGCAAUAAUCACGAUGCUCUGAGCCUGACAAGGUGAGAAUUUACUUUCAGCACCUGCAAUAGUUUCCUAUUAAAGUUACAUAUGAAACCCUGCCGUCUUGUACCAACUAAUGUUCACACCAGCGUUCCUAUUUUCAAGAUAAAUUGCAAAAUAAAAACUCUUGUUUUUGUUAGCAAAAGAAAACUUCUUUAGGAGGAUAAAAGGGAGAUGAAGAAACAGAAAACACAUCAGCUCUCCAUCCAGAUUACAGAAAGCAGAAAACAUCCUGAAGUGAAUAACAUAGGAAUCACUCUUUUUCCCCCCUGAGAUAGCAGGUUACUUAUGAGAAACAAGCUUGAAAUCUCUGCACCUGGA